This 77-nucleotide transfer RNA is filed under the name compost metagenome. Its description in RNAcentral is "tRNA-Asp". It matches the Rfam family "tRNA". From Rfam's summary of the family: Transfer RNA (tRNA) molecules are approximately 80 nucleotides in length. Their secondary structure includes four short double-helical elements and three loops (D, anti-codon, and T loops). The record is from RNAcentral.
GGUCCCAUAGUUCAGUCCGGCAGAACGCUGCAUUGUCAGUGCAGAGGUCAGGGGUUCAAAUCCCCUUGGGACCGCCA